Sebastes umbrosus (honeycomb rockfish) is the source of this 1267-nucleotide long non-coding RNA. RefSeq lists it as uncharacterized. The record is from RefSeq and is a predicted model, not a curated record. The transcript has 3 exons. NCBI's taxonomy places the organism in Eukaryota, Metazoa, Chordata, Actinopteri, Perciformes, Sebastidae.
UUCAGUGACCCGCAUUCGCAACCAGAGGGCACCGGUAGAGGCGGUGGAGGUGGUCACGCUGAGCCCACAUGCUGAUGGUGAUGCGCCCGACAGAGAUGCUCAGUCAGCAGCGUCGGGAGCUGCAGCCGUGCAUCAGGCUUCCACCAUGGCUCUAGCCGGCAGCGUGGACACGGAGGUUGAAAACCUUUCACGGGAUACUGAGCCGACAGACUGGUGGAAAGUGAACGUGGGGAGAUUCCCCCGGAUCGGCAAAGCUGGCACGACAGUACGCCUUCCAUCCCAGCAGAACUUCACAUGUGUAGGAGAGACUAAGAUGAGAAGAAAAGGCGCAAAUAUUUUAUUUCCGCGUAUAGACAACCCACCCACAUGGACACGUAUAAGUGGAAACUGCAGAGGUUGACCUUCCGUCCCUGUGGGGUGAGUGGAAACAUGGUGAGUGGCAGCUUGAUAAACACUUCGCUCCUCUUGUCGAGAAGACACCUGUCACGAUGCAAUCUGUUCUCACAAUCACCACCUGAACCAGCCUGCUCGGUGCUACAGCUCAGUGAGAAACCCACAGUUACCUACCGACCAUAAAAUCAAACCAGAACAAAAGAGGCUAAUGAGCAUCAGAUUCACAUUUACCGAUCCAAAAAACACCCCAGAAAUUGACGUUUUCAUUCAGAGUUCAAUUAAAAAUGCUAUUUAAAAAAAAUCAUUCAGUCUGUGCUAAUAUUUAUGAAAGAGCCAUAAUUGAUAUAAACUAAGCUGCUAUUUAACAGCACAUUACUUGUUCCCGUGCUAAUCUCCAGGCAACCUUUUUCUUGAUUUAUUUCCUUUUUGAAGGAUUUCUUUCUCCAGUCCAGAGGCAGUUUCAACCACAACAUCAUCUUAAAUAGGAGGAUGAAAAGAUGAAAAGAGAGGACAGGAGGAGGAGGAGGAGGAGGAAGAAGGGGCUCAAGGUCUGAUCACUAUGUGCUCUGACUGGAGUGUGCGGCAUAAAACGAUGUAAUACCAUCCUGUCAUCAUCGUGCACAGUGCUUUGGUUCUGUAGAAACAGGGCUCAGUAUAGCAAGAGGCUCACCUGUAGAGCGAAAUUCAACGUUUCAAGACACUGUGAGACAGAGAGAGAGAUUAACGUGACCUUUAGAUAUCUCAUUUGCUAGAUUUAAGGCGGCAGUGGGCAGAGUGUUUUUGGCAUCAUUGGGAAAAAAUGUCCAUAAUAACCUUUCAGCAUAUUGUAAUUCAAGAGUUCUGAGAGAGACUUCUACUCCUCCUCAUGGCUCUG